Molecule: ribosomal RNA, 326 nt
Filed under: uncultured bacterium
Lineage: Bacteria
Description: bacterial SSU rRNA
Rfam family: Bacterial small subunit ribosomal RNA
Source: RNAcentral
AAGUCAGGUGUGAAAGCCCCGGGCUCAACCUGGGAACUGCAUUCGAUACUGGCAGACUAGAGUGCGGGAGAGGGAGGUGGAAUUCCACGUGUAGCGGUGAAAUGCGUAGAUAUGUGGAGGAAUACCAGUGGCGAAGGCGGCCUCCUGGCUCGACACUGACACUGAUGUGCGAAAGCGUGGGGAGCAAACAGGAUUAGAUACCCUGGUAGUCCACGCCGUAAACGAUGUCUACUAGCUGUAGGGGUACUUGAGACCUUUGUAGCGCAGCUAACGCAAUAAGUAGACCGCCUGGGGAGUACGGCCGCAAGGUUAAAACUCAAAUGAAU